This 1682-nucleotide ribosomal RNA is filed under the name Arothron reticularis (reticulated pufferfish). Its description in RNAcentral is "16S rRNA". The stretch from base 107 to 1571 matches the Rfam family "Bacterial large subunit ribosomal RNA". The record is from RNAcentral. Lineage: Eukaryota; Metazoa; Chordata; Actinopteri; Tetraodontiformes; Tetraodontidae.
CACCUAACAGCUAGCCCCGCCCCCAAACACAAAACACAACUAUUAAUACCCCCUAACACACUUUAGCUAAACAAAACAAACCAUUUUUCCCCCUGAGUAUAGGCGAUAGAAAAGGACUACCGGAGCUAUAGAUAAAGUACCGCAAGGGAACGCUGAAAGAGAAAUGAAACAACCCAGUUAAAGUACAAAAAAGCAGAGAUCAAACCUCGUACCUUUUGCAUCAUGAUUUAGCUAGCAAACAUUAGGCAAAGAGCACUUUAGUCUAACUCCCCGAAACUGAACGAGCUACUCCAAGACAGCCUAUAUAGGGCACAUCCGUCUCUGUGGCAAAAGAGUGGAAAGAGCUUCGAGUAGAGGUGACAAACCUACCGAGUCCAGUAAUAGCUGGUUGCCCGAGAAUUGAGUUUAAGCUCAGCUUUUUAGUUUCUUAACUCACCAACCAUUAACAAACGAAACCGACCCCAAGAAACUAAAAAAGUUAGUCAAAGGGGGUACAGCCCCUUUGACCCAAGAAACAACUUUACUAGGAGAAUAAGGAUCAUAAUAACUAAGGCCAUGUGUUUAGGUGGGCCUAAAAGCAGCCACCCUGUUGAAAGCGUUAAAGCUCAAACACACCCUCGCCACCAAUACCGAUAACCCAUCCAAACCCCUAACCCCUAUCGAGCCUCCCUAUGCCCCCAUAGAAGAGAUUAUGCUAAUAUGAGUAAUAAGGGGCCCCUCGACCCCCUCCAAGCACAAGUGUACAUCGGAACGAACCCCCACCGAAACUUAACGGACCCAAUCAAAGAGGGCAGUGAAUACCAAGCUAGACAACAAGAAAAACACUCACCACCCCACCGUUAACCCCACACUGGCGUGCUAAACCGGAAAGACUCAAAGAAAAAGAAGGAACUCGGCAAACCCCUAAGCCUCGCCUGUUUACCAAAAACAUCGCCUCUUGCAAAAACAAUGAAUAAGAGGUCCCGCCUGCCCUGUGACUAUAUGUUUAACGGCCGCGGUAUUUUGACCGUGCAAAGGUAGCGCAAUCACUUGUCCUUUAAAUGAGGACCUGUAUGAAUGGCACGACGAGGGCUUGACUGUCUCCUUUUUCAAGUCAAUGAAAUUGAUCUUCCCGUGCAGAAGCGGGAGUAAAAACAUAAGACGAGAAGACCCUAUGGAGCUUUAGACAUAAAACAGAUCAUGUCAAACACCCUAAAACAAAAGAAUAAACUAAAUGAGCCCUGUUCAAAUGUCUUUGGUUGGGGCGACCGCGGGGUAACAAAAAACCCCCAUGUGGAAUAAAAACACUCUUUUUAAAACCAAGAGCCACUGCUCUAAUAAACAGAACAUCUGACCAACCAUGAUCCGACCAAGCCGAUCAACGAACCGAGUUACCCUAGGGAUAACAGCGCAAUCUUCUUUUAGAGUCCAUAUCGACAAGAGGGUUUACGACCUCGAUGUUGGAUCAGGACAUCCUAAUGGUGCAGCCGCUAUUAAGGGUUCGUUUGUUCAACGAUUAAAGUCCUACGUGAUCUGAGUUCAGACCGGAGCAAUCCAGGUCAGUUUCUAUCUAUGAAGUGCCCUUUUCUAGUACGAAAGGACCGAAAAGGAAAGGCCCCUGCUAAAAACACGCCUUCCUCUCACCUGUUGCACCCAACUAAAACAGACAAGAAAGCACACAAAACAGUUAAAGAACAUAACAU